CACAAAAUAGAAAGCCCGAGA
This 21-nucleotide microRNA is filed under the name Branchiostoma floridae (Florida lancelet). RNAcentral's name for it is "bfl-miR-4875c-3p". The record is from miRBase by way of RNAcentral. Lineage: Eukaryota; Metazoa; Chordata; Leptocardii; Amphioxiformes; Branchiostomatidae.